UUGGCUCAGUGGCUAGAGCACUUGCUUCACACGCAAGGGGUCACAGGUUCAAGUCCUGUA
Molecule: transfer RNA, 60 nt
Filed under: Planctomycetia bacterium
Lineage: Bacteria; Pseudomonadati; Planctomycetota; Planctomycetia
Description: tRNA-Val
Rfam family: tRNA
About the family: Transfer RNA (tRNA) molecules are approximately 80 nucleotides in length. Their secondary structure includes four short double-helical elements and three loops (D, anti-codon, and T loops). Further hydrogen bonds mediate the characteristic L-shaped molecular structure. tRNAs have two regions of fundamental functional importance: the anti-codon, which is responsible for specific mRNA codon recognition, and the 3' end, to which the tRNAs corresponding amino acid is attached (by aminoacyl-tRNA synthetases). tRNAs cope with the degeneracy of the genetic code in two manners: having more than one tRNA (with a specific anti-codon) for a particular amino acid; and 'wobble' base-pairing, i.e. permitting non-standard base-pairing at the 3rd anti-codon position.
Source: RNAcentral